CAGUCGCCGCGGUAAUACAGAGGGUGCGAGCGUUAAUCGGAUUUACUGGGCGUAAAGCGUGCGUAGGCGGCUAAUUGAGUCGGAUGUGAAAUCCCCGAGCUUAACUUGGGAAUUGCAUUCGAUACUGGUUAGCUAGAGUGUGGGAGAGGAUGGUAGAAUUCCAGGUGUAGCGGUGAAAUGCGUAGAGAUCUGGAGGAAUACCGAUGGCGAAGGCAGCCAUCUGGCCUAAUACUGACGCUGAGGUACGAAAGCAUGGGGAGCAAACAGGAUUAGAUACCCGUGUAGUCCCUGUCUCUUAUAC
RNAcentral lists this ribosomal RNA (301 nucleotides) under uncultured bacterium. RNAcentral's name for it is "partial 16S ribosomal RNA". It matches the Rfam family "Bacterial small subunit ribosomal RNA", at positions 509 to 807 of the family's 1533-position model. The record is from RNAcentral.